RNAcentral lists this ribosomal RNA (432 nucleotides) under Phyllodactylus delsolari. Its description in RNAcentral is "partial 16S ribosomal RNA". It matches the Rfam family "Bacterial large subunit ribosomal RNA", at positions 1913 to 2547 of the family's 2925-position model. The record is from RNAcentral. Lineage: Eukaryota; Metazoa; Chordata; Lepidosauria; Squamata; Phyllodactylidae.
GUGAGCCACACUUCAACGGCCGCGGUACUCUAACCGUGCAAAGGUAGCGUAAUCACUUGCCCUCUAAAUAGGGGCCAGUAUGAACGGCUAAAUGAGGGCCUGACUGUCUCCUACGAUAGGCCAAUGAACCUGAUCCCCCAGUACAAAAGCUGGAAUAAACACACAAGACGAGAAGACCCUGUGGAGCUUUAAGUUAACCACUACCCCCCCCCCCCUAGUGCUAACUUUUAGUUGGGGCGACUACGGAGCAAAACAAAACCUCCACGAACCAGGAUCACCUCCACCAAAGGCCCACAAGCCAACUAUACAAAACACCAUGACCCAGCACUGCUGACCAACGAACCAAGUUACCCCAGGGAUAACAGCGCUAUCCUCCUCAAGAGUCCCUAUCGCCAGGAGGGUUUACGACCUCGAUGUUGGAUCAGGGCAUCC